UAGGGAAUAUUGGGCAAUGGAGGCAACUCUGACCCAGCCAUGCCGCGUGCAGGAAGACGGUCCUCUGGAUUGUAAACUGCUUUUGAAUGGGAAGAACAUACGAUUUGCGAAUUGUACUGACGGUACCAUUAGAAUAAGCACCGGCUAACUCCGUGCCAGCAGCCGCGGUAAUACGGAGGGUGCAAGCGUUAUCCGGAUUUAUUGGGUUUAAAGGGUGCGUAGGCGGCUUUAUAAGUCGGUGGUUAAAGGCAGCAGCUUAACUGUAUGCAUGCCAUCGAUACUGUAAGGCUUGAGUGAUUUGGAGGUAGCUAGAAUUCCCUGUGUAGCGGUGAAAUGCAUAGAUACGGGGAGGAAUACCGAUUGCGAAGGCAUGUUACUACGAAUUAACUGACGCUGAGGC
RNAcentral lists this ribosomal RNA (400 nucleotides) under uncultured bacterium. RNAcentral describes it as "bacterial SSU rRNA". It matches the Rfam family "Bacterial small subunit ribosomal RNA", at positions 355 to 752 of the family's 1533-position model. The record is from RNAcentral.